GAUGAAGAACGCAGCGAAAUGCGAUAAGUAUUGUGAAUUGCAGAAUCCAGUGAAUCAUCGAAUCUUUGAACGCACAUUGCGCCCGCCAGCAUUCUGGCGGGCAUGCCUGUUCGAGCGUCAUUUCAACCCUCGACCUCCCCUUGGGGAGGUCGGCGUUGGGGACCGGCAGCACACCGCCGGCCCUGAAAUGGAGUGGCGGCCCGUCCGCGGCGACCUCUGCGCAGUAAUACAGCUCGCACCGGGACCCCGACGCGGCCACGCCGUAAAACACCCAACUUCUGAACGUUGACCUCGAAUCAGGUAGGACUACCCGCUGAACUUAAGCAUAUCAAUAAGCGGAGGA
RNAcentral lists this unclassified non-coding RNA (343 nucleotides) under soil metagenome. Its description in RNAcentral is "partial contains 5.8S ribosomal RNA, internal transcribed spacer 2, and large subunit ribosomal RNA". The stretch from base 1 to 120 matches the Rfam family "5.8S ribosomal RNA", at positions 35 to 154 of the family's 154-position model. The record is from RNAcentral.